Non-coding RNA from Camellia sinensis, 660 nucleotides. The record is from RefSeq and is a predicted model, not a curated record. NCBI's taxonomy places the organism in Eukaryota, Viridiplantae, Streptophyta, Magnoliopsida, Ericales, Theaceae.
CUUUCUCUGUGAUUUCGUUUUCCCUCUCUUUCUUUUCACGCUCAACUCUCUACCUCUCUCCUCAUUCUCUCACUCAUCUCUGCCACUUCCAUUGUCUCGCCAAACCACCGAUCCUCACCACCACCAUCAUGAUCAUCACCACGGUCACAACCACCAUCACCAUCACCAUCACCAUCAUCAGUACGAUUACAGUGGCCAUGCCAAGCUGACUAGGGCACAAGAAGCGUUUCUUCGAUUCGCCGAAACGAUUAGGUGGACCGAUUUAGCAGACUUCUUGCGGGAACACUUGGAGCUAUGCUGCUGUGCCACGGCUCUGUUUAUCGCUGCCGCAGCUUGUUCCUACUUGCUUCCAAAGCCAGCUGUGAAGCCUCUGUAGCAUGUUUUCAUUCUCAUUGCUUUCCCUCUCAUUGGGGUAUGAGUAUUCUCUCCCAAUUUUUCCUAAUUUUGAUUUUGGAUUGAUAAACUGAUAUAAUUUCAUACUCAAUAGGCCUGAGAUGAAGAGCAAAAUUUGAUGGUGCUUACACCACGUCAUGAGGAAGCUGGAAGACUCAAGUUUGUAUGUGUUUCAAAUGAUGGUAUUGAUGAGCAUAUGGUUUGGUUGAUAGGAUUGAAGGAUAUAUUUGCUAGACAACUACCUAACAUGCCUAAGGAGUACAUUGU